CACGUAGGGGCUAGCGUUAUCCGGAAUUACUGGGCGUAAAGGGUGCGUAGGCGGUCUUUCAAGCCAGAAGUGAAAGGCUACGGCUCAACCGUAGUAAGCUUUUGGAACUGUAAGACUUGAGUGCAGGAGAGGAGAGUGGAAUUCCUAGUGUAGCGGUGAAAUGCGUAGAUAUUAGGAGGAACACCGGUGGCGAAGGCGGCUUUCUGGCUGACAACUGACGCUGAGGCGCGAAAGCAUGGGUAGCGAACAGGAUUAGAUACCCCCGUAGUCCCUGA
This 275-nucleotide ribosomal RNA is filed under the name uncultured prokaryote. RNAcentral's name for it is "partial 16S ribosomal RNA". It matches the Rfam family "Bacterial small subunit ribosomal RNA", at positions 524 to 800 of the family's 1533-position model. The record is from RNAcentral.